This 372-nucleotide ribosomal RNA is filed under the name uncultured organism. Its description in RNAcentral is "partial 16S ribosomal RNA". It matches the Rfam family "Bacterial small subunit ribosomal RNA", at positions 527 to 896 of the family's 1533-position model. The record is from RNAcentral.
GGAGGGUGCAAGCGUUGUUCGGAUUUACUGGGCGUAAAGCGCGCGCAGGCGGACUGGCAAGUCAGAUGUGAAAUCUCGGGGCUUAACCCCGAAACUGCGUCUGAAACUGCUAGUCUAGAGUCUCAGAGGGGGCAGGGGAAUUUCACGUGUAGGGGUAAAAUCCGUAGAGAUGUGAAGGAACACCGGUGGCGAAGGCGCCUGCCUGGAUGAGUACUGACGCUGAGGCGCGAAAGCGUGGGGAGCAAACAGGGAUUAGAUACCCUGGUAGUCCACGCCGUAAACGAUGAGUACUAGUUAUUGGGGGUAUUGACUCCUUCAGUGACGCAGCUAACGCAUUAAGUACUCCGCCUGGGAAGUACGGUCGCAAGACUA